CCUACGGGUGGCAGCAGUGGGGAGUAUUGGACAAUGGGGGCAACCCUGAUCCAGCCAUGCCGCGUGUGUGAAGAAGGCCCUCGGGUUGUAAAGCACUUUCAGUGAGGAAGAACGCCUGGUGGUUAAUACCCAUCAGGAAAGACAUCACUCACAGAAGAAGCACCGGCUAACUCCGUGCCAGCAGCCGCGGUAAUACGGAGGGUGCGAGCGUUAAUCGGAAUUACUGGGCGUAAAGCGCGCGUAGGUGGCUUGAUAAGCCGGUUGUGAAAGCCCCGGGCUCAACCUGGGAACGGCAUCCGGAACUGUCAAGCUAGAGUGCAGGAGAGGAAGGUAGAAUUCCCGGUGUAGCGGUGAAAUGCGUAGAGAUCGGGAGGAAUACCAGUGGCGAAGGCGGCCUUCUGGACUGACACUGACACUGAGGUGCGAAAGCGUGGGUAGCAAACAGGAUUAGAUACCCCAGUAGUC
RNAcentral lists this ribosomal RNA (465 nucleotides) under Vreelandella stevensii. Its description in RNAcentral is "partial 16S ribosomal RNA". It matches the Rfam family "Bacterial small subunit ribosomal RNA", at positions 338 to 795 of the family's 1533-position model. The record is from RNAcentral. Lineage: Bacteria; Pseudomonadati; Pseudomonadota; Gammaproteobacteria; Oceanospirillales; Halomonadaceae.